This 1365-nucleotide long non-coding RNA is filed under the name Felis catus (domestic cat). Its description in RNAcentral is "lncRNA (ENSFCAG00000051899.1)". The record is from RNAcentral. Lineage: Eukaryota; Metazoa; Chordata; Mammalia; Carnivora; Felidae.
AUGUGUUCUCCAGAGGCUGCUUGUCUGGACAGCUGCCCUGGCCAGUCCUGCCGUCUGGCCCGGGCCCCUGAGCACCCAGAAUGCCUCCCACAGGAGGACGUGGCCUCCCGACACCCACGUGUGUCUGAAGGGCGUGAAGGGUGUCAUCUGACCCGGGGGGCGGGUGCUGUCAGAGCAGUUUACCUACAUUGCUGGCUUCCUGGAGGCGUCGGGUCACCCCAGGGCUCGGCUCCCUCCUCCCGACCUGUGCUCCCCUGGGGGUCCCACCUCGCAGUCCUCCCUCCUCCCAGCCUGUGCUCCCACUGGGGGCUCCCACCCCCCAGUCCUCCCUCCUCCCGGUCUGUGCUCCACUGGGGGCUCCCACCCUGCAGUCCUCCCUCCUCCCGGUCUGUGCUCCCACUGGGGGCUCCCACCCUGCAGUCCUCCCUCCUCCCGGUCUGUGCUCCCACUGGGGGCUCCCACCCUGCAGUCCUCCCUCCUCCCGGUCUGUGCUCCCACUGGGGGCUCCCACCUCCCAGCCUGUGCUCCCACUGGGGGCUCCCACCUGCAGUCCUCCCUCCUCCUGGCCUGUACUCCCCCUGGGGGCUCCCACCCCCCAGUCCUCCCUCCUCCCAGCCUGUGCUCCCCCUGGGGGCUCCCACCUCCCAGCCUGUGCUCCCACUGGGGGCUCCCACCUGUCAGUCCUCCCUCCUCCUGGCCUGUGCUCCCCCUGGGGGCUCCCACCCCCCAGUCCUCCCUCCUCCCGGCCUGUGCUCCCCCUGGGGGCUCCCACCUCCCAUUCCUCCCUCCUCCCGGCCUGUGCUCCCCCUGGGGGCUCCCACCCCCCAGUCCUCCCUCCUCCCAGCCCGUGCUCCCACUGGGGGCUCCCACCUCCCAGUCCUCCCUCCUCCCGGUCUGUGCUCCCACUGGGGGCUCCCACCUCCCAGUCCUCCCUCCUCCCGGCCUGUGCUCCCACUGGGGGCUCCCACCCCGCAGUCCUCCCUCCUCCUGGCCUGUACUCCCCCUGGGGGCUACCACCUCCCAUUCCUUCCUCCUCCUGGCCUGUGCUCCCACUGGGGGCUCCCACCUGCAGUCCUCCCUCCUCCCGGUCUGUGCUCCCACUGGGGGCUCCCACCCUGCAGUCCUCCCUCCUCCUGGCCUGUACUCCCCCUGGGGGCUACCACCUCCCAUUCCUUCCUCCUCCUGGUCUGUGCUCCCACUGGGGGCUCCCACCCCGCAGUCCUCCCUCCUCCCAGCCUGUGCUCCCCCUGGGGGCUUCCAUCCCUCAGUCCUCCCUCCUCCCAGCCUGUGCUCCCCCUGGGGGCUCCCACCCCUCAGUCCUCCCUCCUCACCUCCCACUGUCCCAGGGGGUGUGGUGGGGAGUGA